Molecule: ribosomal RNA, 253 nt
Filed under: uncultured bacterium
Lineage: Bacteria
Description: partial 16S ribosomal RNA
Rfam family: Bacterial small subunit ribosomal RNA
Source: RNAcentral
UACGUAGGGUGCGAGCGUUGUCCGGAAUUACUGGGCGUAAAGAGCUCGUAGGUGGUUUGUCGCGUUGUCCGUGAAAACUCACAACUCAAUUGUGGGCGUGCGGGCGAUACGGGCAGACUGGAGUACUGCAGGGGAGACUGGAAUUCCUGGUGUAGCGGUGGAAUGCGCAGAUAUCAGGAGGAACACCGGUGGCGAAGGCGGUUCUCUGGGCCUGACCUGACGCUGAGGAGCGAAAGCGUGGGGAGCGAACAGG